Molecule: small nuclear RNA, 191 nt
Organism: Eptatretus burgeri (inshore hagfish)
Lineage: Eukaryota; Metazoa; Chordata; Myxini; Myxiniformes; Myxinidae
Gene: U2
Rfam family: U2 spliceosomal RNA
About the family: U2 is a small nuclear RNA (snRNA) component of the spliceosome (involved in pre-mRNA splicing). Complementary binding between U2 snRNA (in an area lying towards the 5' end but 3' to hairpin I) and the branchpoint sequence (BPS) of the intron results the bulging out of an unpaired adenosine, on the BPS, which initiates a nucleophilic attack at the intronic 5' splice site, thus starting the first of two transesterification reactions that mediate splicing.
Source: Ensembl
AUCGCUUCUCGGCCUUUUGGCUAAGAUCAAGUGUAGUAUCUGUUCUUAUCAGUUUAAUAUCUGAUAUGUUCUCUAUAUGAGAACUUUAUAUUAAGCGGAUUUUUAGAGCAGGGAGUCGGAAAAGGGGCUUGCUCCGUCCGCUCCACGCAUCGGCCUGGUAUUGCAGUACCUCCAGGAACGGUGCACCUUUU